CCCAACCAAUCUUGCCCACACCGUAGAUGCCUCCUCCGCCCCCAAACGACGACGACAGGGACGCCGGCGCCCUAACCUGCGUCUCCUUCCACCUCCCCUAGCUCGUCUUCUCGCUGGCCGCUUUGGAGGAGCCUCCUUUUGUGUGCCACCGUGUUCGGGCUGCGGCGACCACCAAAGGUCCGCCGCCGGCAGGAUCUCCCUCCUUCUCCACUACGAGGCACCAGCAGAGGGGGGCGACUCCUCCUUCCAUCCCUAGCCAUGGCGUCCAACUUCUAACGCCGCUUGAAACCCUAGCCCGAAUCCGGCAGAGGCAGUUGAAGGAAGGGGGCGGGCCAUGGAGAAGCUGCAAGGUGUGGGCCUGAAGCCAUGGAUGGAUGUGUUUGGGAAGGCGAGGAGGCACCGAACCGAGCGGCGGGCAAGGAUGAAGUGAAGCUGAGCGCACCAUCGUCAUAUCCCUUCUCCGCCUACUGUUACUGGAAGCAAGCACAGUACCAUCUCAUCUCAUCCAUGAGCUAUUUUUGGCUUACAUGAAGGGAUGCAUGCUCUUCAUCUUGCAGAAGGAGGGGACUCGGCCUUCUUCACGGCUCGCGGCAGUGUCUCCCAUUGAUUCGUUCGUGCAACAAGGAGGGGACCCGCCCUUCUUCAUGUCUCAUGCAACAAGGGUGAUCAACGCGGACUACCACUGCCCGUUGGGCGUCGUGCUCUUCAACCACUCGGAGGUGGACUUCGCUGUGAAGCCUGGCGAUCGCGUCGCAUAGAUGAUCGUCCAAGUGAUCGCAACACCGGAGGUCACCGAGGUGGAGGACCUCGAUACCAUCGUUUGGGGGGAGGGAGGAUUCGAGUCCACUAGCGUCUGAACUCCGAGCCUUGGUAGAUACAUCUAGAGAAGUUGUAUGUUUAGGCUACUGGCAGAACAGUAGGAAAGAUACCCACCUUUGGUUGUGUGCGUUUACUGUUAAAUGGAAUCACCUGAUCUCUUGCGGUUGAGAUGUUCAAU
Triticum aestivum (bread wheat) is the source of this 997-nucleotide long non-coding RNA. RefSeq lists it as uncharacterized. NCBI's taxonomy places the organism in Eukaryota, Viridiplantae, Streptophyta, Magnoliopsida, Poales, Poaceae. The transcript is spliced from 5 exons. The record is from RefSeq and is a predicted model, not a curated record.